Molecule: ribosomal RNA, 309 nt
Filed under: uncultured bacterium
Lineage: Bacteria
Description: partial 16S ribosomal RNA
Rfam family: Bacterial small subunit ribosomal RNA
Source: RNAcentral
AGAGACAGCAGUAGCCACGGGAAUACGUAGGUGGCAAGCGUUGUCCGGAAUUAUUGGGCGUAAAGCGCGCGCAGGCGGAUCAGUUAGUCUGUCUUAAAAGUUCGGGGCUUAACCCCGUGAGGGGAUGGAAACUGCUGAUCUAGAGUAUCGGAGAGGAAAGUGGAAUUCCUAGUGUAGCGGUGAAAUGCGUAGAUAUUAGGAAGAACACCAGUGGCGAAGGCGACUUUCUGGACGAAAACUGACGCUGAGGCGCGAAAGCCAGGGGAGCGAACGGGAUUAGAGACCCCCGUAGUCCCUGUCUCUUAUACA